This 223-nucleotide non-coding RNA is filed under the name Neobacillus vireti. RNAcentral's name for it is "Bacillus vireti T-box sequence". It matches the Rfam family "T-box leader". Rfam says of the family: Uncharged tRNA acts as the effector for transcription antitermination of genes in the T-box leader family. T-boxes are found upstream of many aminoacyl-tRNA synthetase genes and some amino acid biosynthetic genes usually in Gram-positive bacteria. The record is from RNAcentral. Lineage: Bacteria; Bacillati; Bacillota; Bacilli; Caryophanales; Bacillaceae.
AAAAAAGCAAUGAGAGGAACUAGUAACAAGUAACUCAUUCCUAAAGAGAGCCGGUGGCUGGUGUGAACCGGUGGAUGGUCUUGUGAAUCCCUCCUCGAGCAAGGUGCGGAACACCUCAAGUGAGGUCAGUAAGUACUUUCGGUGAAAAACCGUUAACGUUUUUUCGAGGUGGACUGAUUUUUAGUCAACCAGGGUGGUAUCGCGAGCAACUCUCGUCCCUGUA